Jaculus jaculus (lesser Egyptian jerboa) is the source of this 135-nucleotide small nucleolar RNA. RefSeq annotates it as small nucleolar RNA SNORA70. The record is from RefSeq and is a predicted model, not a curated record. The transcript has a single exon. NCBI's taxonomy places the organism in Eukaryota, Metazoa, Chordata, Mammalia, Rodentia, Dipodidae.
CUGUAGCUAAUUAAGCCAACCAGGUUCCUUUCCUAAUGGUGGCCCGGUGUGUAAUGGCUGCAAACAGCAGUCUCCUUGGUGGUGUAUGUAACCUGUUGCUUGUACAGGUUGCCCUAAGAGACCUUGGAGACAGUU